Molecule: small RNA, 494 nt
Filed under: Pan troglodytes (chimpanzee)
Lineage: Eukaryota; Metazoa; Chordata; Mammalia; Primates; Hominidae
Description: sense overlapping
Rfam family: SOX2 overlapping transcript exon 3 (bases 1-265)
About the family: SOX2 overlapping transcript (SOX2OT) is a long non-coding RNA, containing at least 5 exons.
Source: RNAcentral
GGCUAGGUCUUGGAGGCUGGUGUAAGGCGAUGCGGGUGAAGGCAGGAGGCUGAUGGAGAGACUGGGGGGAAGAAAAGCCGAAAUGGAUUCACGGUGCCUUGGAUGAAGGACGAGAGGGGAACUGCAAGCUCCUUCAACUGGUUCUGUCCGGUGAGAAGUGAUCAAGCUUGGGCUGACAAGAGGCUCAGGGAGCCCUCACGUUCUUUCGCUUUUUUACCUGCCAAUCAAACUGCUACAAGACAACACCCUGAUCUGGCAUGGACAUACUAAAGCUCUGUACUCGACCCCGCGAGCGGCUCUCGCCUUCCGGGGCUGGAACCCGACUCAGAUGUGAAGCGGCACUGAGCCGCUGCGCAGGUUCGUGCCCAGCGCCCCCUGUUGGACACAGUAGGAGCUGCGCAGCGCCAGUCCCGGAAAUCGCUGGAAUCCUGCUCUGGGGUUAGAGAAAACUCUUUAUUGCCCUCCAAAAAAGAAACGGGAUGCGAAAACAAAUU